RNAcentral lists this ribosomal RNA (820 nucleotides) under uncultured bacterium. Its description in RNAcentral is "bacterial SSU rRNA". It matches the Rfam family "Bacterial small subunit ribosomal RNA", at positions 28 to 812 of the family's 1533-position model. The record is from RNAcentral.
GAUAACGCUGGCGGCGCACAUAAGACAUGCAAGUCGAACGGAAGUCGUUGUAAUGAAAUAGAAACGGACAGAGAACUUGUUCGAAGAAAGUGGAAGUAGACUUACAACAAUGGCUUUAGUGGCGGACUGGUGAGUAACGCGUAAGGAACCUGCCUUCUAGAGGGGAAUAACAAUGAGAAAUCAUUGCUAAUACCGCAUAUGCCGAGAGAAUCACAUGGUACAAUCGGGAAAAGAGUAAUCUGCUAGAAGAUGGCCUUGCGUCUGAUUAGAUAGUUGGUGGGGUAACGGCCUACCAAGUCGACGAUCAGUAGCCGGACUGAGAGGUUGAACGGCCACAUUGGGACUGAGAUACGGCCCAGACUCCUACGGGAGGCAGCAGUCGGGAAUAUUGCGCAAUGGAGGAAACUCUGACGCAGUGACGCCGCGUAUAGGAAGAAGGUUUUCGGAUUGUAAACUAUUGUCGUUAGGGAAGAGAAAGGACAGUACCUAAGGAGGAAGCUCCGGCUAACUACGUGCCAGCAGCCGCGGUAAUACGUAGGGAGCGAGCGUUAUCCGGAAUUAUUGGGUGUAAAGGGUGCGUAGACGGGAAGAUAAGUUAGUUGUGAAAUCCCUCGGCUUAACUGAGGAACUGCAACUAAAACUGUUUUUCUUGAGUGCAGGAGAGGUAAGUGGAAUUCCUAGUGUAGCGGUGAAAUGCGUAGAUAUUAGGAGGAACACCAGUGGCGAAGGCGACUUACUGGACUGUAACUGACGUUGAGGCACGAAAGUGUGGGGAGCAAACAGGAUUAGAUACCCUGGUAGUCCACACCGUAAACGAUGG